GUUUCCUCAGGAAGCAACAUGAAUUUCUUCUUCCUUUUUUUAUAAUUUUUCUCCCUUUAGCCGAUGUGGCAAAACCAGAUGUAUUAGAACCUCACGAGUUUAUUCAUUUACGAUCACCGACUGUCAAAAAAGUCAGAUGUCUCGCUUCCGGUAAAGCUAUUGGUGAAAUUUUUGAAACAAAGCAUCAAUUAUACGAUAUCGAUCCCUAGAAUGUACAGGAGUUGACAAUGGUAAAAAAAUAAAGACCGCUACCUAAUGUUCAUUCGUAUAAGACAGCUAACACAUCUAAUAUUUUCAAUUGAGUUCUUACAGUUCCUACAUCUUCCACUAAUAUGCUUUUGCAUCAAAUUACUAGCUUUGGCUGCAUUGACGCGACUGGGUCUUUCUGUCGCAUUGUGAGUUGCCUAUAGGUAAUGUUAACAAACAAAUUCUAGCUAACUUAUUCUACAGGCUAAAUGAACUUGAAAACAAUAAAUUGAACAUUGGUUUUAAAGAAAUGUAAAACUCGACAAGUUGCAUACUUUCUGUUUUCAAAGUAUGUCUAGCUAUACGCCUUUUGCGACAAUCAAAUGUCGCGGUCUCUGUACCGGUUUGUUAGUCAUGGUUUAGUUGGAGCGCAUUUUGUAGUCCGCCUUAUGUUGAAUCGUUCUUUGGUCUGUAAAACAACCCUAACCACACAAUGUGUCACACGUGAGAUAAGGCGAUAUUGUGUUCGGAGUCUGAAGAGUUUAAAAGUACUAUGGUUUAGCUCAAUUAUUGAAAAUUUGUUAUUUUUCAAUGUGUGAUAAUAAGCCUGUACUUUUUUUUUUAUUAUAAGCGCUUUGUUGCAGCUAGGGUAUCGUCUUUUUCGCUUUUUUGUAUAAAAGCGUAGGUAAACGUCAGCUACCUAUGUUUGGUUAAAGCCUAUACACUAGUUGCUUAAUGAAUGUUCAAUUUAACAAUGCGCAUAUUAUUGCUCUUUGUCUAAUUUAAUCAUAUUCUUUAUAAAACUUGAGUAACUGCAAACCUUUUUUUAAUUUUCUUUUCUUCACUAGCAUUUGAAAGGUUUUCUUUCCUAUUGUUAUCUAACAAAGAAAACUUUCUUUUUUUUAGAGUAAUUACAUAGUUGAUUAUAUGGGAUACUUCUGCAUUUUCAAUUAAGUUUCGUAGUGGAUAAUUCAAUGAUCUUAAAUUCUUAACGCUGUGAGCGUAUUAACUUUGUUUCGGCAUUGCAGACAAUAACGUAACUUUUAGUUGAAUUUUUUUCGCUGUUAUGAAAAUUCGAGUGUGGGCAUCCACUCAUCCGUAGCUUCACCCAGAUUAUAAAUAUCUGUUUUUAACUUGUAUCGCACCAACCUUAGGAACCACAUAGUUUAAUUUAGCUCAUUCAAGCGUUUCGUUGUCCUAGAUAACGUUAAAAAAUUUAUUGUAAAGUGCGAGUUCAAAAUUAAGCGAUUGAAAUUAUUAUUAAUAUUGUUUAUGAGUGUGUCACAUCAUAAAAAGAAGGCUGGUUGGUCGUUAAACUUUUUUUUUCAUUCUCUAUUUUUUAAUUAACCUCUUUAUCUAAGCUAACCUGUCAACGGUCAUAGGUAGCUUUAACUCCUGUAUGGUUUUUUCGGUUCAUAGCUCUUAUUCAUUCUGAAAACGAAAAGGAACACGAAACCGUUACUGCAUAAGGCAUCCUUUCGGAGCUCAUAGUUCGUCAUAAUACCUUAACCCUUGAAGGAGAGCACUGAAUGAAACGAAGGGUUUCGUCGUUGCCUAAGCGGCUCUUCAGUAGAAUUCGGUCUCAGGCUAUUGCUAGGCUAAUUCCAUUCCUUGAAGCGGGAUUACUCCGAAGCAAGGUCCCACCGUUUAAGUCUUGUUUGCGAGCUCCAUCCAUUUAAAGUCUCAGUUAUCGACUGAAUAGGAACACGAAAUCUUAAAUUUCUGAUUUUUCUUCCCAUUACUUCCGAUACACUUUUUCUAGUUUUUUUAUUCCCUUAGAGAUUAUUUGCUUACAACUGCUGACUUUUUGCGAUGCUGUGAUGCUUAGUAAACAUUUUUCAAUUAGCAACAUAUUGAGAGUAUUCUUGAAUAGUUGGCGAAAAAGGGCGUUGCUAAGGAGUUUAAAAAAGUCAUUAUGCAUACUAUUCAUUCUGUUUCCUGUAACUCAAGUUGCGUAGGCCGUUUGACUAGGGCGUAAUGUUUGUAGGAUAUGUGUAACGGGAAUUUGAAAUAAUAGCAUGUGUUCUGCUUUACCUUGGAAUUUUCAAUAAUUCAUUUGAAUAGAUUUUAUAGGGUUUGCUUUUACAACUGGGCAGUAUUCUGAUGUAUCUCAAUUAAAGUAAAAUUUUUAACGUAGGAUCAAACGAAUUAUGCUUGGGGGUUUUGACAAUCAUAACAAAAGUGAAAAUUUUGAAAAUGUUAUAUAACUACUUUUAACAAAAUGUUUCAAUUUUAAGAAAUUCUUUUGAAUGACGUUUCCCAUUUCGAUAUCAAUGGGCCAUCCUAACCUGUCAGUCCUACAGUCAGUUGUUCAUUCUUUUUGGUAAUAUACCAAUACAAAUGUCAUUUGGUCUACAAAAAAACCCGCACGUCUCACUCCAUGCCUGGAAGUAGACUAAACUCGUUUUCGUAACACGAAUUAAGCUUUUUUUUUGAUAAACUCAUUUCAUCAAUUCAAGAAACUUUAUCGUAGCCAAUCAUGUCUAUUUCAUACAGAUUAUUUUUUUGUAAAUUGUUUUCUACAAUUUUGAGUAUUAGUCAGAGUACUGUUUAUCUUAUUCGAAAUUUCCUUAAACUAAUAUAAAUCAAAGCCUUCACAAAUGGGCUUUACAUUUUGUCCGAGAAAGUUGUAACUUACUUAAGUGGUUCAUUGUAUCAAAGUCUAACGAUAAUUUUGCGUAUACGGAUGAAGUAGUAUUUGAUAGCCAGUUUAUGCCCGAUUUGAAUUUAGCCAAUCAUUGUUAAAACAUUUUAGUUAAAUGGAGAGUACUCCUAUGAGCGAAAUUCUAUUUAUGCUAAAAUUGAAGAAACUGAAAUAAAAAACGUCACAC
Long non-coding RNA from Hylaeus volcanicus, 3017 nucleotides. RefSeq lists it as uncharacterized. The record is from RefSeq and is a predicted model, not a curated record. The transcript has 3 exons. NCBI's taxonomy places the organism in Eukaryota, Metazoa, Arthropoda, Insecta, Hymenoptera, Colletidae.